RNAcentral lists this ribosomal RNA (510 nucleotides) under uncultured Acaulospora. RNAcentral describes it as "SSU rRNA". It matches the Rfam family "Eukaryotic small subunit ribosomal RNA", at positions 569 to 1078 of the family's 1831-position model. The record is from RNAcentral. Lineage: Eukaryota; Fungi; Glomeromycota; Glomeromycetes; Diversisporales; Acaulosporaceae.
AGCAGCCGCGGUAAUUCCAGCUCCAAUAGCGUAUAUUAAAGUUGUUGCAGUUAAAAAGCUCGUAGUUGAAUUUCGGGAUUCGUCGGUUGGUCGGGCUUCACUGUCCGCACUGACCUGACGGAUUCCUACCUUCUGAAUAACCAGCAUGCUAUUAAGUUAGUGCGUUGGGGAAGCAGAGCUAUUACCUUGAAAAAAUUAGAGUGCUUAAAGCAGGCUUGUGCUUGAAUAGAUUAGCAUGGAAUAAUAAAAUAGGACGGCAUGGUUCUAUUUUGUUGGUUUCUAGGAUCACCGUAAUGAUUAAUAGGGAUAGUUGGGGGCAUUAGUAUUCAAUUGUCAGAGGUGAAAUUCUUGGAUUUAUUGAAGACUAACUUCUGCGAAAGCAUUUGCCAAGGAUGUUUUCAUUAAUCAAGAACGAAAGUUAGGGGAUCGAAGACGAUCAGAUACCGUCGUAGUCUUAACCAUAAACUAUGCCGACUAGGGAUCGGGCGAUGUUAAUUUUUUAAUGACUCG